GAGCCCUUAAAAUGUUCUUCUACAUUCUAAAUCUAUUUCUGGCUAUAUUUUAUUUUAUUUAACACUUAUUUUUGUUUUGCUUUCUAAAUUAUAUCGUGUAAACCAAGGGAUUAGGUGCAAAGUUUAUAUAUAGUUAGCCUCCGAUUUUAAGAUGUUAUUAAUUCAUAUACACAAUUAUAAGGAUCUUUAUAC
RNAcentral lists this small RNA (192 nucleotides) under Arabidopsis thaliana (thale cress). RNAcentral describes it as "ATSL187400". Lineage: Eukaryota; Viridiplantae; Streptophyta; Magnoliopsida; Brassicales; Brassicaceae. The record is from RNAcentral.